Molecule: long non-coding RNA, 273 nt
Filed under: Mus musculus (house mouse)
Lineage: Eukaryota; Metazoa; Chordata; Mammalia; Rodentia; Muridae
Description: long non-coding RNA chrX:4046949-4047222
Source: RNAcentral
CUUAGAAUACAAUAAAUGGAUAGUUAAGUUAUGAGCUAUUUGGUGAUCAUGCCAAAGCUUCUGGUCUAGGCACUUAUUCAGAAAUAAUUCAGUUUCAAGAGUUGUUACUCUCAGAACAAAGGAGAAAGGUUCAUCUCUACAGGAAUAGCCCCAAUAGUCUCAUCUGAUUGAAUACUUGGUCGUUAAGGACUGUUACUAUUAGAAAGUAUGUUGGAGUAGGAGUGGACUUGUUGAAGGAAGUAUGUCACUGUCAGGACAAUCUUUAAUGUCUCC